Molecule: transfer RNA, 68 nt
Filed under: Ictidomys tridecemlineatus (thirteen-lined ground squirrel)
Lineage: Eukaryota; Metazoa; Chordata; Mammalia; Rodentia; Sciuridae
Description: Spermophilus tridecemlineatus (thirteen-lined ground squirrel) tRNA
Rfam family: tRNA
About the family: Transfer RNA (tRNA) molecules are approximately 80 nucleotides in length. Their secondary structure includes four short double-helical elements and three loops (D, anti-codon, and T loops).
Source: Rfam by way of RNAcentral
GUGGUGGCUCAGUGGUAGAGCGCUUGCCUAGCAUGUGUGAGACACUGGGUUUGAUUCUCAGCACCACA